Arachis stenosperma is the source of this 486-nucleotide long non-coding RNA. RefSeq lists it as uncharacterized. The transcript is spliced from 3 exons. NCBI's taxonomy places the organism in Eukaryota, Viridiplantae, Streptophyta, Magnoliopsida, Fabales, Fabaceae. The record is from RefSeq and is a predicted model, not a curated record.
UGUGCUAAACCAAUUUAAAAUCUAAGUUACCAACCCAAUAAUUUCCAAUAUACUAUAUUAUUUUAAUAAUACUAUUAUUGCGUUUGUAGGGGAUUCCAUGAUUUGUAUUUCCUUGGAGGAUUAAUGGUUGGGAUUCUUUUGAACAGUGAUAUGAAGAACUUGAUAGGGGAAGCUUCUUGCAGGAUUUGCCAAGAGAGCUUUAGCACUACUGUCACAGCUUUAUCUGAACCAAUAGACAUAUACAGUGACUGGAUUGAUGAAUGUGAACGGGUGAACAACCCGCCGGAAGAUGAUGGUGCUUAGUAGUGCGAUUAUAAGAAUCCAUUUCGAGCUGUAGCGGAUGGAAAAUUCUAUAUUUGUGUCAGCUCCUACUGCUGCAACUAUACAUGUUUUGUUCCUAUAUUACUCUCUAAUAGAGUUUGUAAAACUACAUACAUGUACGCUAAAACAAUGAGAAUAUGUGUGUUUGUCUCGUGUUAAUUUUCA